GACGAACGCUGGCGGUGUGCUUAACACAUGCAAGUCGAACGGUAAGGCCCUUUCGGGGGUCCCCGAGUGGCGUACGGGUGAGUAACACGUGCGUAACCUCCCCUCAUCUCUGGGAUAACAGUCGGAAACGGUUGCUAAUACUGGAUAUGAGCUUGUAAGGCCUCUUGUGUGUUGGAAAGAUUUUUUUGGGUUGUGGAUGGACUCGCGGCCUAUCAGCUUGUUGGUGAGGUAGUGGCUCACCAAGGCUUCGACGGGUAGCCGGCCGGAGAGGGGGACCGGCGACAUUGGGACUGGGAUACGGCCCAAACUCCAACGGGAGGCGGCAGUGAGGAGUAUUGCACAUUGGACGGAAGUCUGAUGCAGCAUCGCCGCGUGCGGGAUGAGGGCCUACGGGUUGUAAACCGCUUUCAAUUGUGACGAGGCUUUUUAGUGACGGUAGCAGUAGAAGAAGCACCGGCUAACUCCGUG
Molecule: ribosomal RNA, 468 nt
Filed under: uncultured bacterium
Lineage: Bacteria
Description: partial 16S ribosomal RNA
Rfam family: Bacterial small subunit ribosomal RNA
Source: RNAcentral